CACAGAGGCACGUUGAGAAUCAGGUGUGUUUUCACCUUUUUGUUGAUAAAACAGAAUUUCUUUUAUGUUUUCUGCUUUAGUUCUGUCUCCUAACAUCAGAGCAACUGUCUUUUUCAUUACACAGCGCUGCCACCUGGCGGUCAGAUCAGGAACUAUCUCUCAUUUUUCAGUUACAGCACAUUACCCAAACACUGCCUGAUCCUUUUAUCUUAAAUACAGAAAGUUGUGGGUCUUACCUGAUGGAUUUGUGUCCUCCUCUGUUACACAGGUGUUCAAAGACUUGCAGGUUUGAGAGGUUUGAGACAGGCUCAGCACAGGUGUAUCUUCUGGAGACAAUCAGUGGUGAGGCUUUCAGUUACAUCAUUAAUGUCAUUAGUUACACCUGUGACUUUUUUUUUCCACGCUUGAAGGUAACUGCAGUGAGGCAGACCACUAGGGGAGCAGUCUGAGGAGAAUUUAGUGUCUCACAGAGAAAAUAUUUUAUUGAGCUGUAGUAAAACCACAAGUCAGAUAAUCUACUCAUGUAAAAAAAAAAAAAAUUCUGGAUGAGGGAUAAGCCCCUAAAUUAUGUGAAAAUUUAGCUUACUUUCUCAAACUAUUUG
Non-coding RNA from Xyrichtys novacula (pearly razorfish), 602 nucleotides. Lineage: Eukaryota; Metazoa; Chordata; Actinopteri; Labriformes; Labridae. The record is from the annotation of a GenBank genome assembly.